RNAcentral lists this ribosomal RNA (397 nucleotides) under uncultured bacterium. Its description in RNAcentral is "partial 16S ribosomal RNA". It matches the Rfam family "Bacterial small subunit ribosomal RNA", at positions 523 to 918 of the family's 1533-position model. The record is from RNAcentral.
AUACGUAGGGAGCGAGCGUUGUCCGGAAUUACUGGGCGUAAAGGGCGCGUAGGCGGCCUGACAAGUUGUAUGUGAAAGACCAGGGCUUAACCCUGGGGUUGCAUACAAAACUGUCUGGCUUGAGUGUGGUAGAGGAUAGCGGAAUUCCUAGUGUAGCGGUGAAAUGCGUAGAUAUUAGGAGGAACACCAGUGGCGAAGGCGGCUAUCUGGGCCACAACUGACGCUGAGGCGCGAAAGCGUGGGGAGCAAACAGGAUUAGAUACCCUGGUAGUCCACGCUGUAAACGAUGAAUGCUAGGUGUAGGGGGUAUCGACCCCUUCUGUGCCGCAGUUAACACAAUAAGCACUCCGCCUGGGGAGUACGGCCGCAAGGCUGAAACUCAAAGGAAUUGACGGGG